GCCGGACACAGAGGAGCGUGUCUGUAGUCCCAGCUACUCAGGAGGCUGAGGUGGGAGGAUCACUUGAGCCCAGGAGUUCUGGGCUGUAGUGCACUAAGCUGAUCAGGUGUCCACACUAAAUUCAGCAUCAAUAUGGUGACCUCCCAGGAGCAGGGGAUCACCAGGUUGCCUAAGGAAUGGUGAACCAAUCCAGGUCAGAAACGGAGCAGGUCAAAACUCCCGUGCUGAUCAGUAGUGGGACUGCGUCUGUGAAUAGCCACUGCACUCCACCCUGGGCAACAUAGUGAGAUCCAAUCUCU
RNAcentral lists this signal recognition particle RNA (299 nucleotides) under Aotus nancymaae (Ma's night monkey). RNAcentral's name for it is "Metazoan signal recognition particle RNA (ENSANAG00000012748.1)". It matches the Rfam family "Metazoan signal recognition particle RNA". From Rfam's summary of the family: The signal recognition particle (SRP) is a universally conserved ribonucleoprotein. It is involved in the co-translational targeting of proteins to membranes. The eukaryotic SRP consists of a 300-nucleotide 7S RNA and six proteins: SRPs 72, 68, 54, 19, 14, and 9. Lineage: Eukaryota; Metazoa; Chordata; Mammalia; Primates; Aotidae. The record is from RNAcentral.